RNAcentral lists this long non-coding RNA (464 nucleotides) under Elaeis guineensis (African oil palm). RNAcentral describes it as "long non-coding RNA (EGUI_LNC070092)". Lineage: Eukaryota; Viridiplantae; Streptophyta; Magnoliopsida; Arecales; Arecaceae. The record is from RNAcentral.
GACCUCAUCCAAUCUCUUGGGCACCACCUACCAUAAAGCCUUUCUUUUGUGCGACAAAAUUGAGAAGUUUUUAUCAUGGAAAUCUAUUUAGGGUGUGAGGUAUCUUAGCAUGAGAAAGGGUUUCUCAAUGUGAGAAAAGAAAAGAAAAAGGAGGGGUAGUGGUCUUCAUGUGUGCAUGAGAUUGAGAGAGGCGCACAUCCUCUCUAGGGUUUCUUCCUAUGUGGCAUGAGAUUUUGGGAAGAGAGACAAGAAAAGAGUUAGAGUUCUCUAGAUUUUAAUCUUUUCUUCAUCUUCCACGUGUUUCUCUUCAGAGAUCUGAGAGAGUUUAAAAGAUUUGAAGAAGAAAUCUGAAUCAACCAUCAAGAAGCAACUUUUGCAAGAGAGCUAGCACCCUGAUGAAGUCAGGGGCCUCUGAUCGGAUCGAGAACUUCAUAUGAAUAUCUAUAAAGGUCGGACAUAUGUGC